This 492-nucleotide ribosomal RNA is filed under the name uncultured bacterium. Its description in RNAcentral is "partial 16S ribosomal RNA". It matches the Rfam family "Bacterial small subunit ribosomal RNA", at positions 29 to 507 of the family's 1533-position model. The record is from RNAcentral.
AGUGAACGCUGGCGGUAGGCCUAACACAUGCAAGUCGAACGGCAGCACAGUAAGAGCUUGCUCUUACGGGUGGCGAGUGGCGGACGGGUGAGGAAUACAUCGGAAUCUACUUUUUCGUGGGGGAUAACGUAGGGAAACUUACGCUAAUACCGCAUACGACCUACGGGUGAAAGCAGGGGAUCUUCGGACCUUGCGCGAUUGAAUGAGCCGAUGUCGGAUUAGCUAGUUGGCGGGGUAAAGGCCCACCAAGGCGACGAUCCGUAGCUGGUCUGAGAGGAUGAUCAGCCACACUGGAACUGAGACACGGUCCAGACUCCUACGGUAGGCAGCAGUGGGGAAUAUUGGACAAUGGGCGCAAGCCUGAUCCAGUCAUACCGCGUGGGUGAAGAAGGCCUUCGGGUUGUAAAGCCCUUUUGUUGGUAAAGAAAAGCAGCAGGUUAAUACCACGCUGUUCUGACGGUACCCAAAGAAUAAGCACCGGCUAACUUCGUG